AUUUGAAAAAUUCUAAGGGAGCUACCAUUUGAUUUUUAUGGGGGGCUAGGAUGAAAUUUGAAAAAAAUAGGCAGGACAGGAGUUUUAAGUAAAAAAAAAAGGCAGGAUGAGACAUUUUGCAAAAAAAAAAAGGCAGGAUGACAAUUUAGGUAAAAAAAGUCAGGAUAAACUAAUAAAAAAAAAGGCAGGACCGAAUAGAGUGAAAAAUAAAAGGCAGGACAGAGAUUACAACUAAAAAAAAAUGCAGGACAAAAUUUUUCAUCCUAGCCCCCCCAUAAAAAUCAAAUGGUAGCUCCCUAAA
This 301-nucleotide long non-coding RNA is filed under the name Mytilus galloprovincialis (Mediterranean mussel). The record is from RNAcentral. Lineage: Eukaryota; Metazoa; Mollusca; Bivalvia; Mytilida; Mytilidae.